Cydia strobilella is the source of this 952-nucleotide long non-coding RNA. RefSeq lists it as uncharacterized. Lineage: Eukaryota; Metazoa; Arthropoda; Insecta; Lepidoptera; Tortricidae. The record is from RefSeq and is a predicted model, not a curated record. The transcript is spliced from 3 exons.
GCCAUCUUGAUAGUAGCCUCGUGAUUAAUUCCUUUGUUUUUUGCUCAUUAAUAUUGUUUAAAGUGUAAUAUCGAUAGCUUUAUUAUACAAUAAUCUAAUGUGGUAGUGUGCAGUGAAUGGAGAAUUAAUCUCAAAGCUUGUUUAACCACCAUUUUGGAGUCAACGGCCGGUAGUCCACGUGCUUCUCGUAAAAUCCAGCUAUCGGUUUUACGAGACAACUACAACAACCACCGAACAGCAUUUAUUUUGUUCCUACCCUUUUACGUGACAUUGGCUACGGGCAACACCGCCCUCAAGUCCAUCAAGAAAAGAAGAAAACAAUUUUGUUUCGUGCUCCUCUUUUUAUAUUUCAGCCAUUUAAAAUAUUUUAUUUCUAUUACAUUUGGGAAAUGGCCACUGAUAAUGGAUGCUGAUAACUUGAUAAGCAAUAAUAUGUCAAUGUAAUAAAGGUGUCAACAUAGUGUCAACUUUAAGCGUCAAUUGGUGUCAAUUUUUGAGUGGGCAUUUUUUGCAAAUUGAAUGUGGGAUAACACAAUUGCUUAUCAGCGUCCUUAUGCUUGACUAAGUUUACAAUGCCGCAUUGUUGUGCAUUUGGAUGUUCGAAGAAAGGUGCGGUGCUGCACGUUUUUCCAAAUCCAAACAAACACCCUGAUCGAUUUAAAGUUUGGGUUCAGCUUAUUGGGGGCAAGUUGGGCACCCCAUCAGAUUAUGAAUUUUAUAAAAAAAAGAGGAUUUGCGAUCUUCAUUUUACCGAAGAACAUAGGAAUCGCUUUAAGCGAUUAAAUGCUAUAGCAGUACCGACCCUAUGUCUACUUGAUGACUCUACCAGCGCGAGCUACGCGCUACGAGCAUAGCCGACAACAUGAGAAUCCACCACAACAUCCACCUUUCAAGAUGUUGCUCCUGUAACUGACAUUCAGCCCACCUUUCAUUCUGCUGCUUCUGCGCCAGG